ACCCAGAAGACAGAAAUCUUCGUACUCACCGCUGUGAAAACGUCAAAUCUUACACAGUAAAAAUAUUUUGAAAUUAUCUUAAAAUGUUUAUGGACGGAUGAUUCUUUUUGUUUAACAUAUUAGGUAAAUGUAAACAGUCAGUAUGAGAUGAAGCCUAGUAUAAUCAAGCUGGUCUUGGUGUUGAUCUUUGAUUAGAAAUAAUUUGCUUGUAAAUGCAAAGGCCAGGUGUGAAUAAAACUAUACACUGAGUAAAUUCAUCUUCCCCAUUCCCGCUUCAAAAUCAUAUAAAUACAAACAGUAUGUGAAGAUUUUUUGAAGUUAUAUUUGUUUGCCUGUUACGUUUUAAAUUCUUGAUUAUGUCUUAAAUGUUAUAUUGUGGAAUACGCAAUUCAUAUGAAAUAGUUAUAUGAUCAGUCUUGCAGAAACAUUUCAGUUCUAACAUUUUGUGUAUAUGAUGAGCAUGUUCCAGAGCAUUUUCAUGCAUUUGGCAGCUUUAGAUUUGAGUGGUUCGGUAUUUCAUGUUACAGAUGUUAGCAUGGUGUUCAGCAGUGGAAAGAAUUAAUAUAAUUUUUUUUUCUGUUUAAAUUGAUAAUUGUGACAAGCAAGUAAAUGGAAAGGCUUUAUAUAAGACAUUUCCUUGGGCAAUUUCAUAGCUUGAGGAAUCCUAUAUUGUAAUACUUAAAAGGGAAAAUGAAAGAAUGAAAAGUACAGUAUAAUAAAAUAUUUGACUAGGAAACAUUACUAAGGAAUACAGCUAUGUGAUAACGUAUUUGUGAGUAGGGGACGCAAGUGAGUUUUCACUGAGUGUCUUCUGAAUAUAAACUUUGUAAAUAUUUUAGUUAGAUCAUACUAUGCAUAAAGUACUAUUGUUUAUGAAACAUAUGCACUAUUGUAACACCAAUACAUGUAUUUGUGCCACUUACAUACUCACCAACUUAUAUUUCUUCCUCACUUUGUGAGAUUUGUUCUUACUUCUUUUACCUUCCAGAAACUUUACAUGUGUAAAUAAUAUGCCGUCUGGUGGUAUGAGUUCUAACCAACAAACUGCCAUUAAGAGAGGUAAAUAAUAAACUCUAACAGUGAAGAUGAAAUUUAUAGUUCACCUUAGUAGUUACAUUUGACUAAGUUCCCAGAACAUGCAUGAGGCUUGUUCAAGUGAAACCUGUUUGGUGAUUUCUUCUGGUUGAAGUAGAAGCUAUUAAAUGAAUCCCAUUGAUGUACCAGCUGAUGCAAAGAACUUCCUAGGCUGCUUCUGGAACCACUAUACCACUGCAGCCUUGGCAUCUUUGUCCACCCAAAAUGUAUGACCCCUUUGCACGUUUUGAGUGGAUGAACGCGUGGAAGUCGCACAGUGACGGAACUGGACCAUGUGGAGAUGAGCAUUGCCGUACAAUAUAUUGCCGCCUCUUAUUAACGUACCAGGAUGCUAUCUCAUGAUGGUAGUAUGAAGAUCUCAGAAGGUUUCUAAACAUCACUCUACAGGGAUUGUGGUGACAGCGUCGUUUGAACAGGAUUAGCUAUUUAUCAUUAUCGAAGAAAACUGUUCUGUUUGGAUGGGUUCUGCACCUGGAGUGCAGAAAUUUAAUCAUGUCGUACUGUUCCCAUUUGCUCUAACAUUAUCAUUCUGUUGCAUGAUUCUUGGUUGACUGCUAGUGUGUCAUGUAUACAAUUGUGUGAUCACCUGCAACUGGCUGUAUUUGCUAGCAGUACCACAAAUGGGUUUCAUUUUAACAACCCUCAUGCUAUUAUAUGUUGGAAAUUUUUGGUGCUGUAGUCAUAUUUUCGUUUACCAGUGCAGACUCGUGAGCAGACUUAAUUGAUGUGAUGGUGGAUUCCCUUUCAUAUGUUUCAGUUCCGUAGAUAUUAUUUGAUUCCUGAUACAAACUUUCUGUGUAUUAUUGCAUUGUAUGUGUUUUGUAAUGGAUUCAUUACUCGUCUUUAUUUUUGUUAUAGAUUUGUUAAAAUCUUAAUUCAUUAUGUCUCUUCUUUGGGGCAUAAUCAUUUAUGUAUUUUGCAUUUAAGUUUCCAACUAUAGAAAUGCUAAAACUUUUAAUUAUUGUUUUCCUUGAGUUAUGUCAGUCUUAUUACACUGGUUUUUAAACCUUUAUUUGAUCCCUUCAUAUUCAACAUUCCCAAAACUAUAUUUUUUUUUCAGUUUUGUGGUACAGCCCCUUUUAUCCUCCCACACACGUAUUAAGGCAUCCUAAUUAAAAAUAUUGUAGUUAUGCUUGGCAUUGUCCAUUUUCCAUUAUAUGUAAUAUAUACAGCAUUUUUGGAGUUGCCUCUGCUUGAGUCUUCAUAUGAUUGUUGGUUAUUAUACUACCAGAUAUUUUACUUACUUGGAUACUUGUAUGAUCCGUUCUUUAAGUGCCUGAGCACUGCGGGUCCCAACUUUUCGUUGGUUUUGAUCUAUGGACAUUUUGGUAGGACUCCUUGGACGAGGGAUCGGCCCGUCACAAGGCCUCUACCUGUACACAGGACGGCACAACACAGAAAUGUGGACAAACAUCCAUGGCUUGAGUGGGAUUCGAACCCACAGUCCCAGCGACCAAGUGGCACAAGGCCCAUGCCUCAGACCGCUGUGACCUCCACCAGAUAUUUUACCUUUUAUAUUUUUCCUUCUGCUAUAAAAAUAGUCAUCUUUACAGACCUUUUGAGAACCAAUUUAAAAUGUUAGGCGAAACUGCAUCUGGUGGUGCCAGUGGAAAUUCCAUAAUCUCAUAUGUAAGGAUUUCUGUCCCAUAUGUCUCUGCCAUGGUCCUUCCAUUCUGACAUGUCCUGUUGUGGUGACAAUCAAACUUUGUAGUAUGAAAACAUUAAUUGUUUGUAAUACUGAGGAGAGGCCACUAUAUUUCUUCAGGACCAGAUACUAAGCAGGCCUCUGAUAUGUAAUAAGUUAUUGGUUAGAUUAUUUAAAAAGCAGGUAGUAUCUUUUUUAAAAAAAUGUUAGCACUAUCAGUUUACAGUGCAUUGUUAAAGUAUUAUGUGAGGAAGAGAAUUUUGUACCCAUGAGUCAUAUAAAAUUAAAAACAAAAGAAUGAAAUAUUUUUUUAUCGUGACAGGUCUUUAUAUUUUCACUGACCAUGUUUUAUUACAUUCUGGGGACAUUUUACCAUGUAAUUAAAAUUCCAGGACCCAUUCAAUGGGCAGCCAUUUGAAUCCCUGACCAGAUAUGGGUUCAUUUUUUUUGCACAGAGCCCUUUAGAAAUAUCACAGUUUUAUUAGUUGCCUGACAAACUCCGCUUGCUCGUAGUCUGUCAGUAUGAUUCAUACAAAUAAUUGUAUGAGAUAUUUAGAUACUCAGCUUUAAAUGUUGAAUAUUAAGAGCAAUUCUCUAAUUUGUUUUCUGCAUCUUGUGUGUGAUGAUAAAUUUGUUCAUUAAAUGUUUUACAUUUAAUCCAAGACUGAAAAUAUACUCUCCACCAGUAAUUCACUUAUGGUCAGUGUGAAGGUGUAUUUCUGGAAUCCUGUUUACACUUGAGAAACUUUCGUCCUUGUCUUCAGGAAUGUAGAUUAUGCCUGAUCCUGGUUCUUAGCUCCCAAUAUGACAUUAUGAUGUACGUAUCUUGUCACAACUGUCAUUGCACCGUCUCUUACGUAUCACAGAAAAACAAAAUCUGCCUCAUGGUUGCAGAAGUGGAUUCCUUGGUCUUAUUUGGCAGACACUAGCCUGGAAGAUCAGACAUACCAUUACUUCACACAUUUGUCACUAUCAUUUUAUUAUGGGGAAAAAUGUCGAUACAGUUUUAAAUCACCUCAAAAGUGAUAUUGGCAGCACUGAAAGUGACUCAUGUAAACAAUAUGAACCUUAUUAGUGUUAGUCUUUUGGGUUUAAUACUUGUAGGCAGAUACCAUCAUUUCAGUGAAAGACAAUGUAGAAGUCCACACGGAAUUAGAACCCAGAUGACCAACAUUGACAUCUGUAUCGCCAUGAGAACAUCAAAUCUUGUGUGAACUUUCACACUUUGCACUUAGAUGGUUUGCGUCAUCUUAUGAGUAGUGAUGGUCAUGAAAUGUUUAAAAUGGCUGCUCCAUUAAUGGAAUUUACAACAACAAAGAUUGAUAGAGUUUAAUCCCAGUAUGGACUGGUACUUUUGAACACCAUGUCCAGACUGACUCUGGGGAUAAACCAAACUCUCAUCCAUAGGUUAAUGAAGUCUAUUCAGAAUGUGUAUCAAACACUGGUGAAGGAUCAUGUGAUUGUGGACUGAGUAUUUCGCUUGCCUGUGUUUAUAUCCACUCCACACACAUCUCGAAUAGUGUAUAUGGGGGGCUCGGGAUAAAUCUGAUUACUUAUCGUAAUCCUACUAAGAACUAGAAACCCUGGGACUUCACCUUACAAUUCUAAAUGUUCAAUGAUAUUUAAUUUUUGUUUCAAUUUUCAGUAUUUUCUGACUUGCUUCUGUGUGGUACAAAAUUGUCUUACCUUGCUCUGAGAACAUGCUCUAAAAGUCUAAGUGUAAGAUGUGGAAACUACGGCUGUGGAAGUUGUGAGAGAUGUUAACAUUUUGACUGUUACAUAUGGACUUCUAAAGGUCACAAGUUUUUAAUCAUAUUAAGUUAGGAAGCUUAAAGAGUGAUGUCAUAAUGUAUUGCAUUGUAAUUGAAAUAAAAGAGUAGGAAAGAUUAGAGAAGUAUCAGAAUAAGUAGGAAGAUCAUAAUUAAGGCAUAAACACAUUUUCAUUAUGUACAAGUUUGAUAAUGGGUAUUAAGCCCCAGAAGACCAAAGCAGAGAAUUGCAUUCUCUUUAACAUAGAUAUACAAUAUGUAUGAGAUCUCGUAGACAUUUGUUUCCAUUGUUCUGUAUUGUGGAUCAAAAUCAGGGUCCCUUAGCUCUGAACUAACUAGUGGGCCAUGACUUUUAAAAUAUAUUAAUCUUUUAUUUUAAACAAAUCUCAUAUAAGAAUUUUUGCUUAAAAUAAUUUUGUAUAUUAUUAAUUUAUCAUUAUGUAUUUUACAGCAAUGUUUAUCUGCAAGUCAUGGCUCAGUUUUCACACUUUCCUUUGAAUUAUCAUAUUUCAUCACAUAAUUCACACACUUUAAUUUCUCAGCAUGAUUAUAUCAGUCCAAAAGGGGUAGCGGUUUUUAUAAAAUGCAAAAGUGACUGUGCAGGAACACUUAUGUGGCCCAUUUGGCAAGUGUCAUAGUGUAUCUUUGUUGCUUGUUGCAUGAUGUACAGUCACCCUGCAGUCUUAUGGAGUUGUAGAUAAAAUUUAAAUAUGAUUGAUGGGUAUGGCAUAAAGAAGAGUUUAACUGAAAUGAAUAUUUUCAUUUGUUACUAAUUAACCUCAUACACUGCCUACCAUUUUUUGUAGAAAAUGCUUAACUGUUGCAGAUAUAUCUUGCAGACAGUGAUGCUAUCAUGAUUGACCAUUUUUAAUGAAUUCUUGUAUAAAUCAUGAAACUUGUUAGGUUAAUUAAGGUGUGUAUGGAUGGGGCGUCCAGUAGAGUUCGUAUAGGUAACCUCAUGGAUCCAUUCCCAUUGCACAGUGGUCUAAAACGGGGAAUGCUUUAUUCCCAAUGCUUCUUGCACAUCACUUGAAAAUGUUUCAAAAUUUAAGUAUAAGGGAACAACAAUAACAAAUAGAAUUGAGGUCCACGAUGAAAUGAAGAGUAGAAUACGCCAGGAAACGUUUGUUUUAUUCAAUUCAAAAACUUAUCAUCUCAUUUGUUAUCCAAAACAUUAAAGAUCAAGAUAUGUAAAACAAUAAUAUUGCCUGUUUUGUAUGGUUAUGAAACAUGGUCUCUUACCUUGAAGGAAAUGCAUAGAUUACAAGUGUUCGAAAACAAGGUGCUCAGGAAUAUAUUUGGACCUAGGAACGAUGAAAUAAAUGGGGAAUUUAGAGUAUUACAUAAUGAGGAGCUGCAUGAAUUGUACAGGUCACAUAGCAUAAUGAGAAUAGUGAAAUCUAGGAGGCUCUGAUGGGCUAGACAUGUAGCACGCAUGGAGGGGAGGCAAGGAGUGCAUACAGAAUUUUUGUUGGAAAUCGUUCUGAAAAAAUGACCACUGGGCAGACCAAGAAGGAGAUAGGAGGAUAAUAUCAAGAUGGAUCUUAGGGAGGUGGACUGUGAGGAUGGCAAAUGGAUGAAGUUGGUUCAGGAUCAUGGCUGGUGGUCUGCCUUUGGUGUUGUCAGUGUUGGACCUGCAGGUUCUGCUACCAGGGAGUUUGUUAUAAAUCAUGCACCCAAAUAUUUUUCAGCAAAGUUUUGAAAAAGAAAGUGUGUGAUAUGUAAUCUAAUAUGGUACAUUUAAAUUUUGUUAAAUGAUUUGUUUUACUUGAACUUUGUAGAACACUAAGAUUUGGCCAUGUAUCUUUCUGUUAAAUAGAAUUAUUGGUUUGGCAUUUGUGAAAAUAUAUGUAAGCAUUGAUGAAAGAUUCUCAUGCUACAAACCGCAUCAGGUGGCUGAACGGUGAACAAACUGUGUCUUCUGCUGGCAUCAUCACUACCUGCCGUCCACCGCCAGCCAGUUCCCAUCAGCUAGCGCGCAACAAAGUAACAUGCUGGUUACCCAGCAGCCCUGAGGAUGAGAACAAAGUUUGUUCUUGAAACAUUGGCAGAAGAUAUCGUUUGUUCACCGUUCAGCCACCUGACACGGCUUGUAGCCCGAGAAUCUUUCAUCACCUUCAGUCGCUGCAAAAGCAUCACCUCAUACAUAUGUAAGCAUUGUUCAUAUAGCUCUAUAGUGUCACCAGUAAUUAAGCUUUCUGCACUUUUAAAGUGUUAUUUGCUUCUUGUUGUUAAUAACAAAUUUUUAAGGCUACUCAUAAGAAUUAGGACAAUAUUUCAAGAAGUUACAGCUAUGGUCCUUCCAUUCUUAUCCCUUUAAAGCAGUGGUAAAGUUCAUGUACCACUUUCUUUAAUAUUUAGUAACUGCAUUUUACCCACAGAAUGUAUUUACAUGUUUCUUACGAUUCUCAAAAUAAACAUCAAUUAUUUCUUUAAACAUCAUUAACUGAAUGAGAUUUGUAAUGUAGAUGAACUUCAUGCUUCAGAAGUUUAAUUGUUGAAAUAAAGUUACCUGUUACAUGCUAUACAACCAGGAUUCAGGUGCGAUUUCAGGUUCUCAUGGUAAUGAGUAUGAUGAUACCUAGGAUGUUAUGCCAUGUAGUCUGGUAGGAGUUUACUGAUGUUUCAGAAGUGAUUACUGCCUCUGCCAUCAGAGCAGUAUCACCCUGAGGCAGUAAACAUCUAUCUGACGACUUGGUUCAACAUCCCAGAGGACAGCGAUCUUCAACCAGGAUUCAAUUUGCUGGAGGGACAAAGUGUUCUCUUUGCCAGUACAUCCAGAUCAGCUCUGGGGCCCACUCAUCUUCCUGUCGAAUGGAUGUCAGGGGCCCUUUAUCUUUUGGUAAAGUUAUUAGAUCACGAAGCCUGUCACUUCUCCUCGUGUAGUGGCAAAGUAACAGGCUUGUCUGUAGAUGCUAGCAUUUCAGAGGGCUACGUGGAGGUGUCGCGCCGGUUCGUACCCAUAUCCGCAGCAGGUCUCCAAGGUGAGGAGCCUCUAGUCGAUAGAC
Non-coding RNA from Zootermopsis nevadensis, 7517 nucleotides. The record is from RefSeq and is a predicted model, not a curated record. Lineage: Eukaryota; Metazoa; Arthropoda; Insecta; Blattodea; Termopsidae.